RNAcentral lists this ribosomal RNA (484 nucleotides) under uncultured bacterium. Its description in RNAcentral is "partial 16S ribosomal RNA". It matches the Rfam family "Bacterial small subunit ribosomal RNA", at positions 30 to 507 of the family's 1533-position model. The record is from RNAcentral.
AUUGAACGCUGGCGGCAGGCCUAACACAUGCAAGUCGAGCGGAUGAAGGGAGCUUGCUCCUGGUUUCAGCGGCGGACGGGUGAGUAAUGCCUAGGAAUCUGCCUGGUAGUGGGGGAUAACGUCCGGAAACGGGCGCUAAUACCGCAUACGUCCUGAGGGAGAAAGAGGGGGAGCUUCGGAACUUACGCUAGCAGAGGAGCCUAGGUCGGAUUAGCUAGUUGGUGGGGUAAAGGCCUACCAAGGCGGCGAUCCGUAACUGGUCUGAGAGGCUGGUCAGCCACACUGGAGCUGAGACACGGUCCAGACUCCUACGGGAGGCCGCAGUGGGGAAUAUUGGACAGUGGGCGAAAGCCUGGCCCAGCCGUGCCGCGUGUGUGGAGGAGGUCCUCGGAUUGUAAAGCCCUUUUAGUUGGGAUGAAGGGCAGUAAGUUAAUACCUUGCUGUUUUGACGUUACCAACAGAAGAAGCACCGGCUAACUUCGUG